AAAUCCGGUGUGUCCGAAGAUUGUCUCAGUGACCUUUUGCGUUGAUAUCCUGUGCCGAAGAAUUGCCCGCUCAAUAACUCUCCUAAAUUGAAUGUGCAGAUGAAAUCUGCCAUCAACAAAGGUGGAAAGAAAAGGGAUGAGAGACUGACUGCAACAAGGGGUGCUUUGAUGGUGGUUGGUAGGACGCUCUUGACCUUGCUUUUGAAACCGGUUAAGGAUGAGUAGUACUUACUUCUCAUCGAAAUGUUGAGUAAUGCAAUAUUUGUUUUAAGCAAAAUACACCAUUUAGGUUCAGUAUAUAGAAGUUCAGCCGCGUUAAGCCUUUCGCUGGUCUCAAAUGAAAUGCAGCCUUGUAUGAAGGAAGUGCUCGUUGAUGCUUCUUUGCACUCUUGUUUAUAUGGAGAAGAUUUGGCUGAUAGGCUCAAAUCAAUCAGAUUAGCUGCAGAUUAGUGGCCGAGUUAAAGUCAGGUGCAUCCGGAACAAGGCUUUUAUAGCAUACAAAUUUAAACUCGACCGUCCCACUUCGUUCCCGGAAGUUGCAAGGCUGAAGUGGGUGAAAGUCAUUGUACCCUCAAAAGAGGGAAUACAGGAAGGUUCGAGAGGAAAGGGGGUGGAGUUGUGUCCCCAGGAAAAAAUAGUAAGUACUUUUGUUGAAAGAUUGCACGAGUUUCGGGACAUUUGGAACUCUAGAACUCAAGAUGCACAGAUUCUACCUUGGUUAGAUGGAUAUAAAAUUCCAUUUGCGAGGCCAGUUAUACAGGACUUGAUUACGACAGAUCCUGUUUGGUCCCAACAAGAAAAAGAUUCAAUUUGUAAUGUGGUCAAACACCUGUUAGAGAUAGGUGCAAUUGCAGUUUGCGAACCUUGUAAGAAUCAAUUUAUUUUACAGAUCUUUUUGGUUUCAAAAUUGGAUGGUUCGGUUUGAUUAGUUUUAAAUUUAAAGAAACUGAAUGCUUUUAUUGACACUUGUCAUUUUAAACUGGAAGACAGAAAAUUAGUAGAAACACUCUUCACAAGGAAGUACUUUAUGACCACUCUGGACUUGAAAGAAGCUUACUUUCUAGUCCCAAUAAUUGAAAAUCAAAAGAAUUUUCUAAGAUUUUAUUUUGAUGCUCUCUGUUAUCAGUUUAACGUGUUACCCUUUGGUUUAUGCACCGCCCCGUGGGCCUUUACAGAAUUAAUGAAAUCUGUGGUUUCUUAUCUCCCUGCCAAGGCUUUUCCCUCAAUAGUUUAUUUAGAUAACUUUACUAUUUGGUGAUAGUUAGCUAUCCUUAAAAAAUGUUCAAGUAACUUGCAACACACUGAUUAGGUUGGGUUAUGUUAUUAAUUAUAAGAAUGUUUUACAUCCUUCGAAAUCCCGUAAAUUUUUAGGUUUUGUUUUUUUUGAAUCCCACCACUUGUUUUUCUGAUGAGUAAGUAAGUUUUGCAAUUUGAACCAUUGCGAAAUAAGAGUCUUUGCCGAGCUUUGUGCUGUGCUAGUUUUCAGUUUGCCCAGCAGUUUGUUACAGUUGGGUAUAUACUAAGAAUUUUUGAGAGAAUCAAAUAUCUAGCCCUUCAAGACUCUGUCGAUAAUUAUGAUAUUUGGAUGAUAAUUCCUUGUAAUUUACGGAGGGAUUUUAUGUGAUGGCUAAAAAGUUUACAGAAUCCUGAAUGCCCUGUAAGGCAGCAAUGUUACAAACUUGAGAUUUUCUCAGAUGGUACUCCUUUGGGUUGGGGAAUUGUGCCAGAGGACUUUGGAGUCCUAGGGAAGCUCAGUUUCAUAUUAAUGCACUAGAAUUAACUGCGGCCUCAUUUGGUCUCUAAUGCUUCGCCUCGUAUUUGACUAACUGCGAGACACUUUUGAGGAUUGAUAACACAACUGCUAUUUUGUAUGUAAAUAGAAUAGGGUGAGUAAAAUUUCCUGUUUUAAACGAAAUUUCGAGGCGCCUUGGGGUUGGUGUGAAGAAAGGAGGUUAUGGGUUAAAGCAUCUUACAUUCGAUCUUCCGAUAAUUUUGAAGCGCAUAAGGAACCCACGAAUUUGAAUUUUGAUAGUGAAUGGUACCUUUCGGACAAUGCUUUUGCUAAAAUAACAAGCAAAUUUGGAUUCCCAUAAAUCGAACUGUUUGCUUCUCGCCUAAGUAAGAAAUGCGGAAAGUUUAUUUCCUAAUUUCCAGAUCCGGAGGCAUCUAAUGAAGACGCGUUUACUGUUUUUUGGAGCGACAGUUUCUUCUAUGUUUUCCCCCCGUUUUGCUUGUUGCCACUUGUUUUACGAAAAAUCAAGGCUGAUUGAGCUACAGGGAUCGCAGUAAUCCCUUACGGGCACAGCCAGCAUUGACAAAUUACCUUCUUCUUUUGACAGGAGAGGUCACCCUUUGUGGAAAUCCCUUACCCUGGCUGCAGGGAUUUUGUCAGGCAAGCAUUCCAGAAGAUUUGCUGGAUAUUUUUCUAUCAUCUGUUCAGAGCGCUACCUUGAGGCAUUUAAUACCUGCAUGCAUUUAAACUUUGGUGGAGCUUCUACGAAAGGAGGGGAGUGGAGUGUUAUUACUUCUCACCUAGGCUGUAUUAGAUUUCCUUACUAUUCAUUUUAGACAAGGCAAGUCCUAUGGCUCAUUGAGUUCUUUCAGUGCAGCACGGCCUUAUUUUUGGAUCAGAUUUAUUUAACAAUGCAAAUCUAACUAGGUUUUUUAAGGUGUUUAUAAUCUAAGGCCAAGUAAACCAAGAUAUAACAGCACUUGGGGCCCUAGUUAUGUCCCUGACUUUGUAAAAGGGUUACGUUCUAAUGACUUGUCAUUAAAGCAAUUAACUGUCAUUAAAACAAUUAAAUUAGUUUCUCCUACUGAAGUUAACGAUUGUACAUAGAGUCCAAACGCUCUCUCUUAUAGAAUUGGUCAACAUAAAAUCAUUUCCAGAUGGAUUAGAAAUUAGAAUAACGAAUCAAAUUAAGAUUUCAGCUAUAAAUAAGACUCGACCUGUUUUUUAAUUUUGCAUAAAUAUGAAGAUGUAAAUCUUUGUGUGGUUUCAAAUAUAUUAUUGCGAGGGCCAGUGCUUUAAGAGGCAGUGAAUCUCGUUUACUCAUUACAUUUAAAAAGCCUUGUAGGGCAGCAACUAUACCCAACAAAAGUAGAUGAAUAAAGAUAACUUUAGAAGAUAGUGGUGUCUACACUUUUAUUUUUACUGUUCACAGAACUCGACAUGCCUCAACAUCGUCUGCGUUUUGUAAAGGUGUUUCAAUUGAUAUGAUUGGAAAAACGGCAGAUUGCAAGUGCAGGCCUUUUUUGUUAAUGCCACAUUUGGGACAUGGAAUUGUUCAGAAGGUUUGUUUUCUCGGAUAGCCAUUUAUUUUGUAUUUGUACUCGAGGCUUUCAUAAACUUCCUGGAUUUCCUUAUAUAGCCGAAUAAAAUCGUUUUAUAACAAAUUUGCUGAGUUGCCUUUGAAAGUCUACGUAUAUUGAUUUCAUAGAAGAGGUGUAACAUAUAAUUCAAUGAUCAAACGAACUUACCUGGUAAGUGAAGUUCGAUCGUAAUUAUAUGUUACACCUCUUCGUAGAAAUCACCCAUUCCCGCCCAAUUUACUGUUCUGAACAGUACUAAAAUGCCCUUUGGCAAAUUUAUUAUAAACGGGCUUUAAAAUAGAAUGAGGUUAAGACCAUAGAUGGCGAAUAUACCGUCCAUGGUAAGUUAUUCCACAGUUUUUUGGCUCUGCUUUAAAGCUGUGGUGCCACCUAGCGACUAGAAGGGGGACUACGUAUAUUGAUUUCUACGAAGAGGUGUAAC
This is a long non-coding RNA of Cylas formicarius (sweet potato weevil), 3754 nucleotides long. RefSeq lists it as uncharacterized. The record is from RefSeq and is a predicted model, not a curated record. NCBI's taxonomy places the organism in Eukaryota, Metazoa, Arthropoda, Insecta, Coleoptera, Brentidae. The transcript is spliced from 3 exons.